AUGACCAGCUUGUUCGAAAAUAUACUCUGGCUAAUACAUAAUGACAUCAUCAGUUGCACUUACUUAAAGGCAGUAUAUAGAAGAGAGGGAGCUGUGCAGAUGAUACUUAAGGAUGAGUGCCUAAAGUUCUCUCAUCAGAUUCCUUGCUUCCAUCUGACAAAUGGAAAGGGGGCUAGCUUCGAGGUUGUUUCGAGCUCGAUCCUUACUCAGUGCAUGAGAGGUUUCUCGCCACUGAUUCAAUGUGAGAUAACCCUGUUUAUGGUGAAUCUUUUGGAAGCCUCUUUUGGCGGUGGAACUACAAGUCUACAAGACGGAAGGUUCUGCAUAAGCUGA
Molecule: ribosomal RNA, 333 nt
Filed under: Triticum aestivum (bread wheat)
Lineage: Eukaryota; Viridiplantae; Streptophyta; Magnoliopsida; Poales; Poaceae
Description: partial small subunit ribosomal RNA
Source: RNAcentral